CACGUAGGGCGCAAGCGUUGUCCGGAAUUAUUGGGCGUAAAGAGCUCGUAGGCGGUCUGUUGCGUCCGCUGUGAAAACUCGGGGCUUAACCCCGAGCCUGCAGUGGAUACGGGCAGACUAGAGGUAGGUAGGGGAGAAUGGAAUUCCCGGUGUAGCGGUGAAAUGCGCAGAUAUCGGGAAGAACACCCGUGGCGAAGGCGACGUCCUGGACCGGCAUUGACGCUGAGGCGCGAAAGCCAGGGGAGCAAACGGG
This 253-nucleotide ribosomal RNA is filed under the name uncultured bacterium. RNAcentral describes it as "partial 16S ribosomal RNA". It matches the Rfam family "Bacterial small subunit ribosomal RNA", at positions 524 to 776 of the family's 1533-position model. The record is from RNAcentral.